GGUUGGUUAGCUCAAAUGGUCAUAAUGUGGUGCUUAUAACGCCAAGGUCAUGGGUUCAAUCCCCAUACGGCCA
RNAcentral lists this transfer RNA (73 nucleotides) under Xiphophorus maculatus (southern platyfish). It matches the Rfam family "tRNA". From Rfam's summary of the family: Transfer RNA (tRNA) molecules are approximately 80 nucleotides in length. The record is from Rfam by way of RNAcentral. Lineage: Eukaryota; Metazoa; Chordata; Actinopteri; Cyprinodontiformes; Poeciliidae.